GGCCCCGUAGCUUAGCGGUCAAAAGCUGUCGACUCAUAACCGAAGGAGCGCAGGUUCGAAUCCUGCCGGGGCUACCA
RNAcentral lists this transfer RNA (77 nucleotides) under Thalassospira profundimaris. RNAcentral's name for it is "tRNA-Met". It matches the Rfam family "tRNA". Rfam says of the family: Transfer RNA (tRNA) molecules are approximately 80 nucleotides in length. The record is from RNAcentral. Lineage: Bacteria; Pseudomonadati; Pseudomonadota; Alphaproteobacteria; Rhodospirillales; Thalassospiraceae.